CCUACGGGUGGCAGCAGUGGGGAAUAUUGCACAAUGGGCGAAAGCCUGAUGCAGCGACGCCGCGUGAGGGAUGACGGCCUUCGGGUUGUAAACCUCUUUCAGCAGGGACGAAGCGCAAGUGACGGUACCUGCAGAAGAAGCACCGGCUAACUACGUGCCAGCAGCCGCGGUAAUACGUAGGGUGCAAGCGUUGUCCGGAAUUACUGGGCGUAAAGAGUUCGUAGGCGGUUUGUCGCGUCGUUUGUGAAAACCAGCAGCUCAACUGCUGGCUUGCAGGCGAUACGGGCAGACUUGAGUACUGCAGGGGAGACUGGAAUUCCUGGUGUAGCGGUGAAAUGCGCAGAUAUCAGGAGGAACACCGGUGGCGAAGGCGGGUCUCUGGGCAGUAACUGACGCUGAGGAACGAAAGCGUGGGUAGCGAACAGGAUUAGAUACCCUA
This 439-nucleotide ribosomal RNA is filed under the name uncultured Nocardia sp. RNAcentral describes it as "bacterial SSU rRNA". It matches the Rfam family "Bacterial small subunit ribosomal RNA", at positions 338 to 789 of the family's 1533-position model. The record is from RNAcentral. Lineage: Bacteria; Bacillati; Actinomycetota; Actinomycetes; Mycobacteriales; Nocardiaceae.